UGCCCUUUGUACACACCGCCCGUCGCUACUACCGAUGAAUGGCUUAGUGAGGCUUCAAGACCGGCGCGGCCUGCGGGGCAACUCGCGCGCUGCGCUGGGAAUUUAGUCAAACUUGGUCAUUUAGUAGGUCGUAAAAGUCGUAACAAGGUUUCCGUAGGUGAACCUGCGGAAGGAUCAUUA
RNAcentral lists this ribosomal RNA (180 nucleotides) under Pichia fermentans. RNAcentral describes it as "partial 18S ribosomal RNA". It matches the Rfam family "Eukaryotic small subunit ribosomal RNA", at positions 1654 to 1831 of the family's 1831-position model. The record is from RNAcentral. Lineage: Eukaryota; Fungi; Ascomycota; Pichiomycetes; Pichiales; Pichiaceae.